Molecule: transfer RNA, 57 nt
Filed under: Toxascaris leonina
Lineage: Eukaryota; Metazoa; Nematoda; Chromadorea; Rhabditida; Ascarididae
Description: tRNA-Asp
Source: RNAcentral
AAAACUAUAGUAUAAUUUUUAUUAUAUCUCAUUGUCAAUGAGGAGAAUGUGGUUUUA